GGCUAUAGCUCAGCUGGGAGAGCGCCUGCUUUGCACGCAGGAGGUCUGCGGUUCGAUCCCGCAUCCG
RNAcentral lists this transfer RNA (67 nucleotides) under Escherichia coli. RNAcentral describes it as "tRNA-Ala". The stretch from base 5 to 64 matches the Rfam family "tRNA", at positions 7 to 64 of the family's 71-position model. From Rfam's summary of the family: Transfer RNA (tRNA) molecules are approximately 80 nucleotides in length. Lineage: Bacteria; Pseudomonadati; Pseudomonadota; Gammaproteobacteria; Enterobacterales; Enterobacteriaceae. The record is from RNAcentral.